RNAcentral lists this ribosomal RNA (460 nucleotides) under uncultured bacterium. RNAcentral describes it as "partial 16S ribosomal RNA". It matches the Rfam family "Bacterial small subunit ribosomal RNA", at positions 338 to 795 of the family's 1533-position model. The record is from RNAcentral.
CCUACGGGUGGCAGCAGUGAGGAAUAUUGGUCAAUGGGCGGAAGCCUGAACCAGCCAAGUCGCGUGCAGGAUGACGGCCCUACGGGUUGUAAACUGCUUUUAUACGGGAAUAACGCGCCCUACGUGUAGGGCUUUGCAUGUACCCUAUGAAUAAGGACCGGCUAACUCCGUGCCAGCAGCCGCGGUAAUACGGAAGGUCCGGGCGUUAUCCGGAUUUAUUGGGUUUAAAGGGGGCGUAGGCCGCAUGUCAAGCGUGCUGUGAAAAUUCCGGGCUCAACCCGGGCCUUGCAGCGCGAACUGGCGGGCUUGAGUGCGCGGAAAGCAGGCGGAAUGCGUCGUGUAGCGGUGAAAUGCUUAGAUAUGACGAAGAACCCCGAUUGCGAAGGCAGCUUGCUGCAGCGGAACUGACGCUGAUGCUCGAAAGCGCGGGUAUCGAACAGGAUUAGAUACCCGAGUAGUC